UACGUAGGGUGCGAGCGUUGUCCGGAAUUAUUGGGCGUAAAGGGCUCGUAGGCGGUCUGUCGCGUCGGGAGUGAAAACUCAGGGCUUAACCCUGAGCCUGCUUCCGAUACGGGCAGACUAGAGGUAUGCAGGGGAGAACGGAAUUCCUGGUGUAGCGGUGGAAUGCGCAGAUAUCAGGAGGAACACCGGCGGCGAAGGCGGCUUCCUGGACCGAUACUGACGCUGAGACGCGAAAGCGUGGGGAGCAAACAGG
RNAcentral lists this ribosomal RNA (253 nucleotides) under uncultured bacterium. RNAcentral describes it as "partial 16S ribosomal RNA". It matches the Rfam family "Bacterial small subunit ribosomal RNA", at positions 524 to 776 of the family's 1533-position model. The record is from RNAcentral.